UUCAAUUACAAAGGCAUAGUUCACUAAAAUACAACACAAAACCAACAUAGCACAUUCCCUAACUGAACUAACUAAAUUUCAAUACAAAGUUAACUAACAGCUAAGCACCUAACUGAUUCAAUAACAUUACAACUAAGUCAAUCACAAUUACACAAUUAACCUUAACUCCAUAACUAACUAAUUCUAACUAAAAUCUCUAGCAGUGUGAUAACAGAGUUUUUUCCUAACUAACUUACACUGAACUAAAAUUAACAGAGUUAGCUCUGUUAAAUCUCCAAUCUCUAUAGAUUCAUCACAUCCCCAAUCAUUGAAUGGGACCAAUGACUUCACCAAUUCAUCUCUAAAUUUUCAUCUCCCUCAUUCACUCUCUCUCCCACCAAACUCUCACAUAGAGCUCUAUUUGGCAGCCAUUGAAGCUUCAAUUGUGCUUGAGCUAAACCUCAAUUUCACUGCAUAUUCCCCUCAUACACGAGAUCCUCACUCUCUCUACACUUUCUCAUGCAUCACAAGGCAAAGAAACAAGAAGCAUAACAAGCAUUAGCAACGAAUAAGAAGGACCGGGAAGAAGAAUGAGUAAGGAGAACAAAUCAAACUCGGGGAAGAACUCACCUUUGAUUUUCCUUUGGAUUGCAUUUUUUAUCGACAAAAUUCACCCGGACAAAGCUCUGUCUCGCAAGUACGUACGCUCCUUCGAAGCUUUCCACAUUGCUCAAUAUGCUAUGUUGAUCUUUCAUAGAUUUAGGGAUUUAUUUUAGCAUCUCUUAUGUUUGUAACAGUUCGAAGUAUAGAGGAGAGAUGAGGAUGACGAGAUAUUGUUUUGAUUGUUGGAGAUUCUGGAGAAUGCGAAGAUGGUACAAACAGAGGAAUGCGAACAUGAUAUGAUUUCGUUUUCAGGUGUGAUUGAUGAGUUCAAUUGAAG
Molecule: long non-coding RNA, 919 nt
Filed under: Lathyrus oleraceus (garden pea)
Lineage: Eukaryota; Viridiplantae; Streptophyta; Magnoliopsida; Fabales; Fabaceae
Description: Pisum sativum (pea) long non-coding RNA (PSAT_LNC037079)
Source: RNAcentral